This 882-nucleotide ribosomal RNA is filed under the name uncultured Halomonas sp. Its description in RNAcentral is "bacterial SSU rRNA". It matches the Rfam family "Bacterial small subunit ribosomal RNA", at positions 12 to 884 of the family's 1533-position model. Lineage: Bacteria; Pseudomonadati; Pseudomonadota; Gammaproteobacteria; Oceanospirillales; Halomonadaceae. The record is from RNAcentral.
UUUGAUCCUGGCUCAGAUUGAACGCUGGCGGCAGGCCUAACACAUGCAAGUCGAGCGGCAGCACGGGAAGCUUGCUUCCUGGUGGCGAGCGGCGGACGGGUGAGUAAUGCAUAGGAAUCUGCCCGGUAGUGGGGGAUAACCUGGGGAAACCCAGGCUAAUACCGCAUACGUCCUACGGGAGAAAGCAGGGGCUCUUCGGACCUUGCGCUAUCGGAUGAGCCUAUGUCGGAUUAGCCGGUUGGUGAGGUAAUGGCUCACCAAGGCGACGAUCCGUAGCUGGUCUGAGAGGAUGAUCAGCCACAUCGGGACUGAGACACGGCCCGAACUCCUACGGGAGGCAGCAGUGGGGAAUAUUGGACAAUGGGCGCAAGCCUGAUCCAGCCAUGCCGCGUGUGUGAAGAAGGCCCUCGGGUUGUAAAGCACUUUCAGUGGGGAAGAAAGCCUUCCGGUUAAUACCCGGGAGGAAGGACAUCACCCACAGAAGAAGCACCGGCUAACUCCGUGCCAGCAGCCGCGGUAAUACGGAGGGUGCGAGCGUUAAUCGGAAUUACUGGGCGUAAAGCGCGCGUAGGUGGCUUGAUAAGCCGGUUGUGAAAGCCCCGGGCUCAACCUGGGAACGGCAUCCGGAACUGUCAGGCUAGAGUGCAGGAGAGGAAGGUAGAAUUCCCGGUGUAGCGGUGAAAUGCGUAGAGAUCGGGAGGAAUACCAGUGGCGAAGGCGGCCUUCUGGACUGACACUGACACUGAGGUGCGAAAGCGUGGGUAGCAAACAGGAUUAGAUACCCUGGUAGUCCACGCCGUAAACGAUGUCGACUAGCCGUUGGGUCCUUCGCGGACUUUGUGGCGCAGUUAACGCGAUAAGUCGACCGCCUGGGGGAGUACG